RNAcentral lists this ribosomal RNA (495 nucleotides) under uncultured bacterium. RNAcentral describes it as "bacterial SSU rRNA". It matches the Rfam family "Bacterial small subunit ribosomal RNA", at positions 28 to 528 of the family's 1533-position model. The record is from RNAcentral.
GAUGAACGCUAGCGGGAGGCCUAAUACAUGCAAGUCGAGCGGUAGAGUGACUUCGGUUGCUUGAGAGCGGCGAACGGGUGAGUAACGCGUACACAAUCUACCUUUAAGAGGGGAAUAGCCCUGGGAAACUGGGAUUAAUGCCCCAUGGCAUCACGAGACGGCAUCGUUUUGUGAUUAAAGCUGAGGUGCUUAGAGAUGAGUGUGCGUCUGAUUAGCUAGUUGGUGCGGUAACGGCGCACCAAGGCGACGAUCAGUAGGGGGCGUGAGAGCGUGGACCCCCACACGGGUACUGAGACACGGACCCGACUCCUACGGGAGGCAGCAGUAAGGAAUAUUGGUCAAUGGAGGAAACUCUGAACCAGCCAUCCCGCGUGCAGGAAGAAUGCCCUAUGGGUUGUAAACUGCUUUUAUCUGGGAAGAAAAGUCGGGAUUUAUCCUGAUCUGACGGUACCAGAGGAAUAAGCACCGGCUAACUCCGUGCCAGCAGCCGUACGG